RNAcentral lists this ribosomal RNA (495 nucleotides) under uncultured bacterium. Its description in RNAcentral is "partial 16S ribosomal RNA". It matches the Rfam family "Bacterial small subunit ribosomal RNA", at positions 28 to 507 of the family's 1533-position model. The record is from RNAcentral.
GACGAACGCUGGCGGCGUGCCUAAUACAUGCAAGUAGAACGCUGAAGGAGGAGCUUGCUUCUCUGGAUGAGUUGCGAACGGGUGAGUAACGCGUAGGUAACCUGCCUGGUAGCGGGGGAUAACUAUUGGAAACGAUAGCUAAUACCGCAUAAGAGUAGAUGUUGCAUGACAUUUACUUAAAAGGUGCAAUUGCAUCACUACCAGAUGGACCUGCGUUGUAUUAGCUAGUUGGUGAGGUAACGGCUCACCAAGGCAACGAUACAUAGCCGACCUGAGAGGGUGAUCGGCCACACUGGGACUGAGACACGGCCCAGACUCCUACGGGAGGCAGCAGUAGGGAAUCUUCGGCAAUAGACGGAAGUCUGACCGAGCAACGCCGCGUGAGUGAAGAAGGUUUUCGGAUCGUAAAGCUCUGUUGUAAGAGAAGAACGAGUGUGAGAGUGGAAAGUUCACACUGUGACGGUAUCUUACCAGAAAGGGACGGCUAACUACGUG